This 253-nucleotide ribosomal RNA is filed under the name uncultured bacterium. Its description in RNAcentral is "partial 16S ribosomal RNA". It matches the Rfam family "Bacterial small subunit ribosomal RNA", at positions 524 to 776 of the family's 1533-position model. The record is from RNAcentral.
UACGUAGGGUGCAAGCGUUAAUCGGAAUUACUGGGCGUAAAGCGUGCGCAGGCGGUGAUGUAAGACAGGUGUGAAAUCCCCGGGCUUAACCUGGGAACUGCAUUUGUGACUGCAUAGCUAGAGUACGGUAGAGGGGGAUGGAAUUCCGCGUGUAGCAGUGAAAUGCGUAGAUAUCUGGAGGAACAUCAGUGGCGAAGGCGACACCCUGGACUCAUACUGACACUGAGGUGCGAAAGCGUGGGGAGCAAACAGG